UUACUAAUAGGUUAUUGAAACUGAUAGAUUGUGGUUCUGUUGAAUACUUAAACACAGUAUUAGUAAA
RNAcentral lists this transfer RNA (67 nucleotides) under Taenia hydatigena. RNAcentral's name for it is "tRNA-His". Lineage: Eukaryota; Metazoa; Platyhelminthes; Cestoda; Cyclophyllidea; Taeniidae. RNAcentral also lists the same sequence under 1 other name. The record is from RNAcentral.